Molecule: unclassified non-coding RNA, 521 nt
Filed under: Hevea brasiliensis (rubber tree)
Lineage: Eukaryota; Viridiplantae; Streptophyta; Magnoliopsida; Malpighiales; Euphorbiaceae
Source: RNAcentral
UUUGUUUAUUAUUGAAGAAUUUGUUUUGUUGAUAAAAAAAUCCAAUACAAAUAAGAGCCAAAAUCCAACACCCCCACAAUCCUAGAAAGCAAUAUAAUCCAUAACAAAAACUAAUGAAAUUACAGAGUUAAUAAAAUCUAUAAAACCAGAAAAAAAAAAAUGAAAGAAAAGAAGCAAAUGAGUAUCAUCAUGAAUUUCUUGGAUAUCAACAAGGGAUCUGAUCAGUGAACCAUUUAAGUAUUUUGAAAGGUAGCUUUAUGAGAUCCACUGCAAAAUUCGCCAGACCAGCACAACAUACACAGCAUGGGCACAAGCAACUCAAUAUAGUCCCAAUGAUCCAGACAACAGCACCAACAAGAGACAAAAGCAGAGCAACCAAAGCAAAUGGCAGGCCCAGCAAGAACCCCAAUGGUCUGCAAUCUCCCAUUUCUUGCAAACUCUUUCUUCUUCUUCUUCGUCUCUGUUUCGAAGACUUGAUUCUUGGAAGAAGAGGAAAGAAAGAAAGAAAUUUUAUAUAGAGC